RNAcentral lists this ribosomal RNA (476 nucleotides) under uncultured organism. RNAcentral's name for it is "partial 16S ribosomal RNA". It matches the Rfam family "Bacterial small subunit ribosomal RNA", at positions 334 to 801 of the family's 1533-position model. The record is from RNAcentral.
CACUCCUGCGGGAGGCAGCAGUGGGGAAUUUUGGACAAUGGGCGAAAGCCUGAUCCAGCAAUGCCGCGUGAGUGAAGAAGGCCUUCGGGUUGUAAAGCUCUUUUGUCAGGGAAGAAACGGUGAGAGCUAAUAUCUUUUGCUAAUGACGGUACCUGAAGAAUAAGCACCGGCUAACUACGUGCCAGCAGCCGCGGUAAUACGUAGGGUGCAAGCGUUAAUCGGAAUUACUGGGCGUAAAGCGUGCGCAGGCGGUUUUGUAAGUCUGAUGUGAAAUCCCCGGGCUCAACCUGGGAAUUGCAUUGGAGACUGCAAGGCUAGAAUCUGGCAGAGGGGGGUAGAAUUCCACGUGUAGCAGUGAAAUGCGUAGAUAUGUGGAGGAACACCGAUGGCGAAGGCAGCCCCCUGGGUCAAGAUUGACGCUCAUGCACGAAAGCGUGGGGAGCAAACAGGAUUAGAAACCCCUGUAGUCCCAUGAU